This 356-nucleotide long non-coding RNA is filed under the name Vigna radiata. RNAcentral describes it as "long non-coding RNA (VRAD_LNC000309)". Lineage: Eukaryota; Viridiplantae; Streptophyta; Magnoliopsida; Fabales; Fabaceae. The record is from RNAcentral.
UGGCAACUAAGGUUAGGGAGAAAUUAGGGUUUCUGAAGGUAGGAGAUUAUAAUGACGUGUCAAGGGUGAUGUGUCAUUUAUUGCACAGUUGGACUGUAUGGCGUUAACAAUUUAAACACCGUUUGCAAAAAGAACCCAAUUGAACAAAAAUUACAUUCUUUAAAACAACAUUGAACAGAAAAAAAAAAAAAAAACCGAGACCAGAUCGAACACACUUAAAGAAAAUAGGGACUAUUAGGGAUACUACGCCUAAAUUAUAAUAACUUUGAAACUAGUGAGUUUAUUAUAAAUUUGAUGUAAAUUAGGAAUGAUUAAUUAUUUUAUAUAACUGUUUUAAUGGUAAAAGUGAUUUCUUC